Molecule: ribosomal RNA, 253 nt
Filed under: uncultured bacterium
Lineage: Bacteria
Description: partial 16S ribosomal RNA
Rfam family: Bacterial small subunit ribosomal RNA
Source: RNAcentral
UACAGAGGUGGCAAGCGUUGUUCGGAAUUACUGGGCGUAAAGGGCGCGUAGGCGGCCUUCUAAGUCAGACGUGAAAUCCCCCGGCUUAACCUGGGAACUGCGUCUGAUACUGGGAGGCUAGAGUAUGGGAGAGGGACGUAGAAUUCCAGGUGUAGCGGUGAAAUGCGUAGAUAUCUGGAGGAAUACCGGUGGCGAAGGCGGCAUCCUGGACCAUUACUGACGCUGAGGCGCGAAAGCUAGGGGAGCAAACGGG